AUUGAACGCUGGCGGCAUGCCUUACACAUGCAAGUCGAACGGCAGCACGGGUGCUUGCACCUGGUGGCGAGUGGCGAACGGGUGAGUAAUACAUCGGAACGUACCUUAUCGUGGGGGAUAACGCAGCGAAAGCUGUGCUAAUACCGCAUACGCCCUGAGGGGGAAAGCGGGGGAUCGAAAGACCUCGCGCGAUUAGAGCGGCCGAUGCCUGAUUAGCUUGUUGGUGGGGUAAAAGCCCACCAAGGCGACGAUCAGUAGCUGGUCUGAGAGGACGAUCAGCCACACUGGGACGUAGACACGGCCCAGACUCCUACGGGAGGCAGCAGUGGGGAAUUUUGGACAAUGGGGGCAACCCUGAUCCAGCAAUGCCGCGUGAGUGAAGAAGGCCUUCGGGUUGUAAAGCUCUUUUGUCAGGGAAGAGACACCGGCUCUAACACAGUCCGGGAAUGACGGUACCUGAAGAAUAAGCACCGGCUAACUACGUGCCAGCAGCCGCCGCCG
RNAcentral lists this ribosomal RNA (501 nucleotides) under uncultured bacterium. RNAcentral's name for it is "partial 16S ribosomal RNA". It matches the Rfam family "Bacterial small subunit ribosomal RNA", at positions 29 to 523 of the family's 1533-position model. The record is from RNAcentral.